Molecule: unclassified non-coding RNA, 358 nt
Filed under: soil metagenome
Description: partial contains 5.8S ribosomal RNA, internal transcribed spacer 2, and large subunit ribosomal RNA
Rfam family: 5.8S ribosomal RNA (bases 1-120)
Source: RNAcentral
GAUGAAGAACGUAGCGAAAUGCGAUAAGUAAUGUGAAUUGCAGAAUUCAGUGAAUCAUCGAAUCUUUGAACGCACAUUGCGCCCGCCAGUAUUCUGGCGGGCAUGCCUGUCCGAGCGACAUUUCAACCCUCGAACCCCUCCGGGGGGUCGGCGUUGGGGACCUCGGGAGCCCCUAAGACGGGAUCCCGGCCCCGAAAUACAGUGGCGGUCUCGCCGCAGCCUCUCCUGCGCAGUAGUUUGCACAACUCGCACCGGGAGCGCGGCGCGUCCACGUCCGUAAAACACCCAACUUCUGAAAUGUUGACCUCGGAUCAGGUAGGAAUACCCGCUGAACUUAAGCAUAUCAAUAAGCGGAGGA